UGGGGAAUUUUGGACAAUGGGCGCAAGCCUGAUCCAGUCAUGCCGCGUGCGGGAAGAAGGCCUUCGGGUUGUAAACCGCUUUUGUCAGGGAAGAAAUCUUCUGAGUUAAUACCUCGGGAGGAUGACGGUACCUGAAGAAUAAGCACCGGCUAACUACGUGCCAGCAGCCGCGGUAAUACGUAGGGUGCAAGCGUUAAUCGGAAUUACUGGGCGUAAAGCGUGCGCAGGCGGUUUUGUAAGACAGAGGUGAAAUCCCCGGGCUCAACCUGGGAACUGCCUUUGUGACUGCAAGGCUUGAGUGCGGCAGAGGGGGGAUGGAAUUCCGCGUGUAGCAGUGAAAUGCGUAGAUAUGCGGAGGAACACCGAUGGCGAAGGCAAUCCCCUGGGCCUGCACUGACGCUCAUGCACGAAAGCGUGGGGAGCAAACAGGAUUAGAUACCCUGGUAGUCCACGCCCUAAACGAUGUCAACUGGUUGUUGGGAAGGUUCCUUCUCAGUAACGUAGCUAACGCGUGAAGUUGACCGCCUGGGGAGUACGGCCGCAAGGUUGAAAC
Molecule: ribosomal RNA, 553 nt
Filed under: uncultured bacterium
Lineage: Bacteria
Description: partial 16S ribosomal RNA
Rfam family: Bacterial small subunit ribosomal RNA
Source: RNAcentral